This 253-nucleotide ribosomal RNA is filed under the name uncultured bacterium. Its description in RNAcentral is "partial 16S ribosomal RNA". It matches the Rfam family "Bacterial small subunit ribosomal RNA", at positions 524 to 776 of the family's 1533-position model. The record is from RNAcentral.
UACGAAGGGGGCUAGCGUUGCUCGGAAUCACUGGGCGUAAAGCGCACGUAGGCGGAUCUUUAAGUCAGGGGUGAAAUCCUGGAGCUCAACUCCAGAACUGCCUUUGAUACUGGGGAUCUCGAGUCCGGGAGAGGUGAGUGGAACUCCGAGUGUAGAGGUGAAAUUCGUAGAUAUUCGGAAGAACACCAGUGGCGAAGGCGGCUCACUGGCCCGGUACUGACGCUGAUGCGCGAAAGCCAGGGGAGCGAACGGG